CCCAAUCCCUCGCAAUCCCCAUUUCCCUCCCUCGCAUUUUCAGAAAACCCCAUUCCCUCACAAACCCGAUUCCCUCACAAACCCUAUUCCCGCACACCGGAGCUUAGCGAUUGCCGCCUAUACACCGGAGCUUCUGCCGCCUGCACGCCGGAGUUCCAGCCGCCUUCAGCACACCGGUGCUACCGCCUUCUGCACAUACGCCUUUCAAAUAACCCACGACAUGUUAGUAUUAAAUCAUACUAAUUUCCAUUGCAACAAUAAUCCAUUUCAUUCUAAGGACUGUUUACUUUAUCUGUUAGUAUUAAAUCCCUAAUUCAAUAUUUCAAAUGCUUGGGACUGUUAGGUUUUUGAUUUGGUUUCAAUUUUGAUUCAACGUGAAGCGCGCAAAAUAAUACUUACAAAAUCCCUAUAUUUUUGUUUUAAUGGAGAAUAAUACGUCACAAGCAGUGCACAAGCUACAGCUUGCACUUCUUGAUGGUAUUGAAGAUGAUACUAUGCUUUUUGCCACGGGUUCUCUUAUGUCUAGGAGUGAUUAUAUUGAUGUAGUUACUGAACGUUCGAUUGUGAACCUUUGUGGUUAUCCGAUGUGCCCCAAUUUGUUGCCAAAACACCCUAGAAAAGGGCAGUACCGGAUUUCAAUUAAAGAGCAUAAGGUUUAGGAAAAGAGGCAUUGGGUUUGUUUGAGAAUGUGUGUUUAGGAAAAGAAGAUGAAGCCGAGAGUGAGGAAUUAGGGUUGUUGAAAUUGAUUAUUAAGGAGAAUGAUGAGAUAAGAGGAGGAGUGGUUCCGAUUGAAGAGUGGAUUGGUCCUUCAAAUUCUAUUGAAGGGUAUGUUCCUCAAAGAGAUUGUCAAUCCAAGUCAUUAUCGAAUUCUUCCAUCAAAGGAUUUGAACCAGAGAAUGCCAAGCCGAAUGUGAAACUGAUUUAGCUCCAAACAAGAUUGACUUUAAGGUUACUGUCAUGUCCAGUGAAGAUACUACUAGAUCCACGAAGGUUUCGGAAAUUGACAAGAGCUCUCAGCUCAAUUCGGAAGCGACUGAACCAUUUCUCAGUGACAUAAACUUCACGAGUGUUAUCAUACCUAAUGAUAAAUUAACUGCUCAAAAGAAGUCAGAAGCUGGUUCUAAUUCUGUGCAUUCUCAACCCAAAAAAGGCUCUAACAGAAAGAAAUGUUCUUGAUGUGGAAUGCACUCUUUUCUUGGCUUACAUCCUACUCAGUGGCCUAUAUCUAUGGAAAAGACGAAAGUUUCCAUGAAGAGUAUAUAUUUGUUAAUGGAAGAGAAUAUCCCUUCAAAGUAGUCCUUCCUGAUGGUCGUUCUCCAGAAAUCAAGCGUACACUUGCUGGUUGUCUUGGCAGAGCAUUGCCUGGACUGCUUACUGAUCUUAAUCUGCCAACUCCAGUAUCCUCUAUAGAACAUGAACUGGUAGUGUACUCUAAAUAUAUGUUAGAGUGCUUAUUUGGUUCUUUUUAGCGUAAAUUUAAAAUGGCAUAUGUCAAUUGUUUGUGUAACAUUUUGCAAUGUUUCUUGCUAGUUAGUGAAGGAAUUUGUGGAUCUAAUUGUUAAGAAGACUUCUCUUACUUUGCCGCCUGGUGAUUACCUGUUUGUGUAUAGGCUUAAAGCAUGUAUUGCAGCUUGCUAAACGCUAAUUUUUCUUGACAGUUGCAGAAGUUAUAAACUUUUCUGCAAUCUGCAGUCUACAACUAUAUCUGUGUGCAGAGAACUUCUGUAGCUUUUCAUGUUUAUGAUGAUGAUGAAAAUAAAGGAAAUGAUCAAGAUGAUCAAUAUGGUGAAGAUGGAGGAAAUUAUGUUCAUCAAGAUGAUGUUGAUGCUAGUCUCUACACCCAACCAUCUCAACAGCAACCUAAUGAUGAAGCCCCUAUACCUUCAAAGAAAAGUUGGAAUUUGAUUAAAGAUAUUGCUCUCAUAUGUUUAGUCAUGAACACAAGUACAGAUCCAAUUGUGAGCACCAACCAAAAGAUAAGAGUAAGGUGGCAAAAAGUCAAUGAAGCUUAUGAAGCAGCGAGAAUGAAACGACCCCAUCUGAUCCGACGAAGAACCGCCCACACGCUUAAAUGUUGUUGGGGUAGAGUUUCUCUAGCAUGUUUGAAGUGGUCUGGAUGUUAUGACGAGGCUCUUAGGAGGAAGAAGAGUGGCAUGAUAGACGAAGAUGUCCUUAAAGAAGCGCAUUUAAUCCAUCAAAGAAAACACGAUAACUUUAACUUGAUUGAGGAAUGAAAAAUUUUAGAGAAGUAUAACAAGUGGAAGCAAGUGGUAGAAAUUAAUAAAUAAAACAUUGGAUCAACAAAAAACUGGUAGUGUUAGUAGUGAAAGUAGUGGGAAAAGAUCAAGGACGGAAGAAGAUUUUGAAACUCCAACAAGUGAAUCUCAAGGAGGAUCAUCUACUCGCCCUGAGGGUGUAAUGAAGGCUAAGGCUCGCAUGACUGGGAAAAUGAUUGCAGAUCAAUCAAUUCAAGCUUUGAGUACAUUUGGAGAGAGUCUUCAACUUAAUUCAGACCUUUAGCAUUACAAUGGGAUAAGGUCCAACCAAGAUUGUUAGGAUCCGAAUUCUACAUAGGAUUGUUGAGAAAGUGCAAUUUAAAUCUUAGAAUAGGAACGUAUAAGAUCAUGUGAAUGUACAAUUAUGCAUUAGUAUGUUUUGGAAUAUGCUUUGGAUAAUUGAUUAGAUAUUUAUUUUAUGUAGUUUAUAGGUU
Molecule: long non-coding RNA, 2710 nt
Organism: Amaranthus tricolor (Joseph's coat)
Lineage: Eukaryota; Viridiplantae; Streptophyta; Magnoliopsida; Caryophyllales; Amaranthaceae
Exons: 3
Source: RefSeq, a predicted model, not a curated record